Molecule: ribosomal RNA, 513 nt
Filed under: uncultured bacterium
Lineage: Bacteria
Description: partial 16S ribosomal RNA
Rfam family: Bacterial small subunit ribosomal RNA
Source: RNAcentral
GACGAACGCUGGCGGCAUGCCUAAUACAUGCAAGUCGAGCGAACAGAUGAAGUGCUUGCACUUCUGACGUUAGCGGCGAACGGGUGAGUAACACGUAAGGAAUCUACCUAUAAGCGGGGGAUAACAUUCGGAAACGGGUGCUAAUACCGCAUAAUAUCUUCUUCCGCAUGGAAGAAGAUUGAAAGACGGCUCUGCUGUCACUUAUAGAUGACCUUGCGGUGCAUUAGUUAGUUGGUCGGGUAAUGGCCUACCAAGACAAUGAUGCAUAGCCGACCUGAGAGGGUGAUCGGCCACAUUGGGACUGAGACACGGCCCAAACUCCUACGGGAGGCAGCAGUAGGGAAUCUUCCGCAAUGGGCGAAAGCCUGACGGAGCAAUGCCGCGUGAGUGAAGAAGGCCUUCGGGUCGUAAAACUCUGUUAUAAGAGAAGAACAAAUUGUAGAGUAACUGCUACAGUCUUGACGGUAUCUUAUCAGAAAGCCACGGCUAACUACGUGCCAGCCGCCGCGGUAA